Molecule: ribosomal RNA, 1134 nt
Filed under: Staphylococcus sp. 28-4
Lineage: Bacteria; Bacillati; Bacillota; Bacilli; Caryophanales; Staphylococcaceae
Description: bacterial SSU rRNA
Rfam family: Bacterial small subunit ribosomal RNA
Source: RNAcentral
UGGCAUGCGGCAGCUAUAAUGCAGUCGAGCGAACAGAUAAGGAGCUUGCUCCUUUGACGUUAGCGGCGGACGGGUGAGUAACACGUGGAUAACCUACCUAUAAGACUGGGAUAACUUCGGGAAACCGGAGCUAAUACCGGAUAACAUAUUGAACCGCAUGGUUCAAUAGUGAAAGGCGGCUUUGCUGUCACUUAUAGAUGGAUCCGCGCCGUAUUAGCUAGUUGGUAAGGUAACGGCUUACCAAGGCAACGAUACGUAGCCGACCUGAGAGGGUGAUCGGCCACACUGGAACUGAGACACGGUCCAGACUCCUACGGGAGGCAGCAGUAGGGAAUCUUCCGCAAUGGGCGAAAGCCUGACGGAGCAACGCCGCGUGAGUGAUGAAGGUCUUCGGAUCGUAAAACUCUGUUAUCAGGGAAGAACAAAUGUGUAAGUAACUGUGCACAUCUUGACGGUACCUGAUCAGAAAGCCACGGCUAACUACGUGCCAGCAGCCGCGGUAAUACGUAGGUGGCAAGCGUUAUCCGGAAUUAUUGGGCGUAAAGCGCGCGUAGGCGGUUUUUUAAGUCUGAUGUGAAAGCCCACGGCUCAACCGUGGAGGGUCAUUGGAAACUGGAAAACUUGAGUGCAGAAGAGGAAAGUGGAAUUCCAUGUGUAGCGGUGAAAUGCGCAGAGAUAUGGAGGAACACCAGUGGCGAAGGCGACUUUCUGGUCUGUAACUGACGCUGAUGUGCGAAAGCGUGGGGAUCAAACAGGAUUAGAUACCCUGGUAGUCCACGCCGUAAACGAUGAGUGCUAAGUGUUAGGGGGUUUCCGCCCCUUAGUGCUGCAGCUAACGCAUUAAGCACUCCGCCUGGGGAGUACGACCGCAAGGUUGAAACUCAAAGGAAUUGACGGGGACCCGCACAAGCGGUGGAGCAUGUGGUUUAAUUCGAAGCAACGCGAAGAACCUUACCAAAUCUUGACAUCCUUUGACCGCUCUAGAGAUAGAGUCUUCCCCUUCGGGGGACAAAGUGACAGGUGGUGCAUGGGUUGUCGUCAGCUCGUGUCGUGAGAUGUUGGGUUAAGUCCCGCAACGAGCGCAACCCUUUAAGCUUAGUUGCCAUCAUUAAGUUGGGCCACUCCUAAAGUUGC